This is a long non-coding RNA of Odocoileus virginianus texanus, 381 nucleotides long. RefSeq lists it as uncharacterized. The record is from RefSeq and is a predicted model, not a curated record. Lineage: Eukaryota; Metazoa; Chordata; Mammalia; Artiodactyla; Cervidae.
UGUUGACUGCCAUUAUCUGAGGUUCUCCUAGUUCAGGAUUUCACAGUAGCAUAAUUUUUAUGUUUUGUCCAGGAUUUUGGUUGAAAAUAACAGUAGCCGACAGUUCCUGAGUACUUCUCAGGUUCUGUCUUAAUUACUUCAUAUACAUCACCUCUUGUGAUUCCCACAAGUCUGAGAGAAAGAGGCUCUUAUUAUCUCCUUUACACAGACAAAGAAAUUGAGGUUUGGAACUAUCUAGUAACUCACUGGCCUAAAGUGAGGUCAUAACAGCUGGUUGUGAGCACCUUGGGAGCCAUAGAUUGUGAUUAUUGCACAACCAGAUCCUGAGAGCCAAGUUCCAGUGGUCAUAUAUGGAUGUGAGAGUUGGACUGUGAAGAAAGC